CGUCCUACGGGAGGCAGCAGUAGGGAAUCUUCCACAAUGGACGAAAGUCUGAUGGAGCAACGCCGCGUGAGUGAAGAAGGGUUUCGGCUCGUAAAGCUCUGUUGGUAGUGAAGAAAGAUAGAGGUAGUAACUGGCCUUUAUUUGACGGUAAUUACUUAGAAAGUCACGGCUAACUACGUGCCAGCAGCCGCGGUAAUACGUAGGUGGCAAGCGUUUUCCGGAUUUUUUGGGCGUAAAGCGAGUGCAGGCGGUUCAAUUAGGCUGAU
RNAcentral lists this ribosomal RNA (266 nucleotides) under uncultured bacterium. RNAcentral's name for it is "partial 16S ribosomal RNA". It matches the Rfam family "Bacterial small subunit ribosomal RNA", at positions 335 to 593 of the family's 1533-position model. The record is from RNAcentral.